GCCCGUGACUAUAUUGAGAGAGAUCUCGUGGUUGAGAGCAUGAUACCAUUGUCUAUGUGUACGAUUAGACCUUGCCAAUGUUUUUCUAAAUGCAAAAUAGUUAACAGUUGGUCACCCUUCAUUUAGCAUUCUAGCCAUUUACAUGGAGUCAAACGGUCCAAAUGGUUUUGUAUUAUUUUCUAUAUAUAUGUAAAAAAUCAUGUGUUCUAGCAAAUAUACAUGUUUUGUGCGUAUAAAUAAAUAGGUAUUCUAAUUUAUAGCACACUAGCAAGUCUUCAAAUUUAUACAACACUAGUGAAAGCGCAGUUACAAAUAUGAAGACUGAAUUGGUUUGAGAUAUAGCAUGAAGUGGGAAGCUAGUCACUCACCUAGCUUUCAAGGCUUAGCAACAUUCUUCCUGUUGUGUUGCAGAGCAUAUAUAUAUAUUUGAUUCUCAAAUAAUUAGCUGAAUAAAUAGAUGAAAUAUUUAUUAAACUAACUUGAAGACAUAGGCACAAUCUGAGCUACAAAACCCUUCUCCAUCUACUCCAUGAUGUUUGAAAAGUUAGUUUCUUUAUUCUAGUGAACUUUUCUCCAUUUAUAGGUAUAAAAUAAUAGUCUACUAAUCAUGUAUGUGCUAAUUUAUGGGAGCAGAGGUCAAUAAAACUUACCAAUUUGAAUGUGCUCAUCUACAAUAUAGUUGUACUUUUCUUGUACGUAAUUUAUUUAGUGUCAAUGUUACAAUAGACUUCAUACUUUGCUGGAG
RNAcentral lists this long non-coding RNA (745 nucleotides) under Sorghum bicolor (sorghum). RNAcentral's name for it is "long non-coding RNA (SBIC_LNC011078)". The record is from RNAcentral. Lineage: Eukaryota; Viridiplantae; Streptophyta; Magnoliopsida; Poales; Poaceae.